UGAGCCAAGUUUAGGGUUUUCUCAAAACCCAAGCAGUAUUGAACUGAAGAGUUUGAUCAUGGCUCAGAUUGAACGCUGGCGGCAGGCCUAACACAUGCAAGUCGAGCGGAUGAAGGGAGCUUGCUCCUGGAUUCAGCGGCGGACGGGUGAGUAAUGCCUAGGAAUCUGCCUGGUAGUGGGGGAUAACGUCCGGAAACGGGCGCUAAUACCGC
RNAcentral lists this ribosomal RNA (212 nucleotides) under Pseudomonas aeruginosa. Its description in RNAcentral is "partial 16S ribosomal RNA". The stretch from base 41 to 212 matches the Rfam family "Bacterial small subunit ribosomal RNA", at positions 1 to 172 of the family's 1533-position model. Lineage: Bacteria; Pseudomonadati; Pseudomonadota; Gammaproteobacteria; Pseudomonadales; Pseudomonadaceae. The record is from RNAcentral.